GUAAUUGUAAGUUUCCAAUUUUACAUUUUCCAUAUCCAUAAAAUAGUUUUUUGUAAAUCAUUUCACUUGAAGCCAAUAAAUACAGAAAAAUAAAGCCACGGAAGCAACAACCUUGCUAAAUACAUUCCCGACUUUUAAAAGACCACAUUCCAAUGGAAUUUCCAUAAAAACUGCAAUGCCCAUGUUGAAUCCAAAGAUUCAUCCGGGCUCCUAUUUUCGAAAGCAUUGUUACACAAGUAUUAGGUGAAAUUACAAAAUAUACAAAGGUUCUGUAGUUAUUAGAACUCCAGAAAAUGAAUUUAACAAGGUUGAGGAUGUGCAAGAGGGAAAAAGGGUUUAGUUCUAGUACCAAUAGUGUGGAUUGGAAGGAAAAGUUUAUUGGGGAGAUAGAUCAAUAUGCAGAUUGAAAAGUGGACAGUAGAAGAGAAAGGCCUUGAUUAGAGGAAAGAUGAACCUCUAUGAAAUGGGGAUAUUGGAACUGCCCAUUUCUGGAAGGAUAAUAAAGAACUGAAACUUUCAUGUGCUUGCUAUUUGGAGGCUCCUUCCACACCUUAGUUCUUUCCGG
RNAcentral lists this long non-coding RNA (565 nucleotides) under Olea europaea subsp. europaea. Lineage: Eukaryota; Viridiplantae; Streptophyta; Magnoliopsida; Lamiales; Oleaceae. The record is from RNAcentral.